This 1380-nucleotide long non-coding RNA is filed under the name Equus caballus (horse). RNAcentral's name for it is "lncRNA (ENSECAG00000057435.1)". The record is from RNAcentral. Lineage: Eukaryota; Metazoa; Chordata; Mammalia; Perissodactyla; Equidae.
GGGGAAGUGACAGAGGUUCUAGAACUCUUUGGAAGCCUGGCGGUUCUGAGCUCAGGCGGCCACCUGAUGACCAAUUUAGCAGAAGAGGAGCUGGCAGAGACCGCGUGAGCAGCUGAGCCCCUGAGCGGCAGAGCCGGCGUUCGGUGCCUGCACUAGCCGUCGGGUUCAGAGUUCAUCUGCAGAGCCGUGUUCCCUUCUCGGUGCGGGCCUCAUGCGGUCGGUCUGCACAGCUCCCAGGCAGGCAGAGGCCGUGUCCAGUUCCCUCCUCAUAGAAGCCCCUUCUGGCGUGAACAUUCUUGGCUUCAGGCUUUGCUCUUCAGAAUUUUGGUUCUCCAAGAAUCACAGAAUGUUAGCACAGAUGUAGAAAGAAGAAAAAAACAGAAAUGUUCUUUGAAAUAAGCACUGACUGCUUUCCUGUGCCGGGGACAGUGUAUCUCACAGGCCGGCUUGACUCAGUUUAGGAAAUUGCCCCAGUGGCUUUGGUUGCUCUGAAAGGUGAGCCUGCUCCGUGCCCAGCCUCUCCCUGCCUCCAGGGGUCCCAGCAGGAAGGAACAGGUGAAGGGAAGAGAGGACUGAGCUGCUUGCACAAAAAGAGAAAGGGACUCUGGUUUUCACAAACGUCCUGGGAGGAAAGAGGUGAGACUCCACGGAACAGAAUAGUAGGGAGAGGAAAGAUAUGAUGGGAUCAGGAAGCGCAAAGAGAGACAUCCAGGGCCAGAGUGGGGGUGCCCAGCUGCCAAGAAAUCCCCUGUGCUGUCAUCUGUGAUGUGCCAUCCGCCACUCUAAACAUCAUGCACGUCUGCUGCCCAGAAGGGCCCACGUGAAUGACACUUUGCACAAAUGAUGGAGCUGCAUGGUGCCCAGCAUGGACCACCCACUGAGUACGCAGCAGAAGAGGAAACGUGAAGGGAGAUGACCAGGAGAAACGGGGGAUCCUCAUGGGACACUGGCUUCUCCACCCUACAUGGACUCAUGUCCACCCAGAACCUGUGAAUUUGACCUAAUUUGGAAAUAGGGUCUUUGCAGAUGUGAUCAAGUUAAGAUUCAGUCAUACUGGAGUAGAGUGGCCCCUAAUCCAAUGGCUGGUAUUCUUAUAAGAAGAGGGAAAUUUCGUCAAAGACACAGAGACACAGGGAGAAGAAACCCGUGUGGAGAUGGAGCAGAGGCUGGAGCGAUGCGUCUACAAGCCGAGGAAGGCAAGCAUCACUGGCAGGCCCCACAAGCUGGGAGGGAGGCUGGAACACGUGGUCCCUGGAGCCUCCAGAAGGAACCACCUCUGCCGAUACCUUGAUCUCAGGCUCCUGGCCUCCGAACUGCGAGAGAAUAAAUCUCUAUUGUUUUAAGCUCCGCUCCAGUUUGUGGUGUCUUAUUUUGGCAGCC